GAUGAACGCUGGCGGCGUGCUUAGCACAUGCAAGUCGAACGGAAAGGCUCCUGCUUGCAGGGGUACUCGAGUGGCGAACGGGUGAGUAACACGUGGGUGAUCUGCCCUGCACUUCGGGAUAAGCCUGGGAAACUGGGUCUAAUACCGGAUAGGACCUCAUUUUGGAUGGUGUGGUGGAAAGUUUUUCGGUAUGGGAUGAGCUCGCGGCCUAUCAGCUUGUUGGUGGGGUAAUGGCCUACCAAGGCGUCGACGGGUAGCCGGCCUGGGAGGGUGUACGGCCACAUUGGGACUGAGAUACGGACCAGACUCCUACGGGAGGCAGCAGUGGGGAAUAUUGCACAAUGGGCGCAAGCCUGAUGCAGCGACGCCGCGUGGGGGAUGACGGCCUUCGGGUUGUAAACUCCUUUCGCUAGGGACGAAGCGCAAGUGACGGUACCUGGAGAAGAAGCACCGGCUAACUACGUG
This 465-nucleotide ribosomal RNA is filed under the name uncultured bacterium. RNAcentral describes it as "partial 16S ribosomal RNA". It matches the Rfam family "Bacterial small subunit ribosomal RNA", at positions 28 to 507 of the family's 1533-position model. The record is from RNAcentral.